This 64-nucleotide transfer RNA is filed under the name Mesocricetus auratus (golden hamster). It matches the Rfam family "tRNA". From Rfam's summary of the family: Transfer RNA (tRNA) molecules are approximately 80 nucleotides in length. Their secondary structure includes four short double-helical elements and three loops (D, anti-codon, and T loops). Lineage: Eukaryota; Metazoa; Chordata; Mammalia; Rodentia; Cricetidae. The record is from Rfam by way of RNAcentral.
GGGGAUUUAGCUCAGUUGGUAGAGUGCUUGCCUAGCAUGCAGGAAAUACUCGAUUCAGUUCCUA